RNAcentral lists this non-coding RNA (113 nucleotides) under Canis lupus familiaris (dog). The record is from miRBase by way of RNAcentral. Lineage: Eukaryota; Metazoa; Chordata; Mammalia; Carnivora; Canidae. RNAcentral also lists the same sequence under 1 other name.
CCUCUUAUCCCAGUGGAGCUGAUGUCCUGAGCUGGAAUCGGCAAGUGGCCUGGGGACAAAAUGGUGCCCCAUCAUCAGCCUCCCCAGUGAAGGGCUCUCUGUCCUCUGCACGG